CUUCUACUCGUCACACUCACACUAAACUAGAGAGCUACUCAAGAAAAUAAAUGCCUCUUCUUCUUGCUCUCGUCGUCCUCGUCUCCGUCCCAAUGGAGUUGAGCGCCGUCACCUGUCGCACUGCCGCUGCUCCAGUUGCAGCCUGGGCGCCAUUUGGGCGUCCAAGGGAGCAGACGACGAAGCGAACAAGCCUCACAGACAGGCGAGGCGGCCGGCCGGCGAGCAGCUCGCGUUGAGCCCUCUCGCACCACUACAUACGCUGUUGCAUGCUUUGCUGCGAGCUGUGCGCGCGGAGCAUGGAGAUGCAUGGAGGCGGCAGAGGUGGUGGGUGUGAGCGCGUACGUGGGGAAUUGAGGCGUCAUGGUCCGAGAUAUAUACAUGUCUCUCUUGCUAGGUACCUUAGAUUAUUCUUAGAUUAUUCUUAGUUCUGUUGUUAGUACGUACUUCGUCCGACGAUCCUGGAAUAUUGUGUUUUAUUUCAUUGCUAGCUCUCUUGUUUCUGUUUCAUAUUUCCUGCCUUUUUUCCCCCUCUGGUAUUAAGAUUUAAGAAGCUGUAAGUGACGCAUCCUUUGGUGUGGAGAGCUCGUUCUGUGAUGUUUGGGCAUCGUUCCCAACAGUCUUCUCGAGCAGUAUUUCUAGUAUAUAUCUAUAUAUGAUAUAUUUA
Molecule: RNA transcript, 664 nt
Organism: Zea mays
Lineage: Eukaryota; Viridiplantae; Streptophyta; Magnoliopsida; Poales; Poaceae
Exons: 1
Source: RefSeq, marked validated